This 715-nucleotide long non-coding RNA is filed under the name Hordeum vulgare. Its description in RNAcentral is "long non-coding RNA (HVUL_LNC007142)". Lineage: Eukaryota; Viridiplantae; Streptophyta; Magnoliopsida; Poales; Poaceae. The record is from RNAcentral.
UGCGAGCCAACAACUUCUUUGGGGUCAAGAUAACCCACCUUAACAAACUUCUCAAGAUAAGCGUCAUUGACUUUGGUUGGCAGCCAAUCGCACUUCGGGAUAGUGCCCAUAACUACAAAGGGAAGGAACAGGGCAGAUUAUCAAAAACCACGGAGUGGUAACUCGCCAGUUGAAUGAUCUAUGGCAUCUCUACAGGGAUAUUACGACUCGUCAGUUAAAGGAUCUAUGGUAUCUCUACAGGGAUAUUACGACUCGCCAACUAAAAUGGUCAAUGAUAUAUCUAUGGGAAUGUUCUAACUCGCCAUGGUGAAAGGAGACGGGUUGCGGCUCUAAAAAAAGGGUUUUUCCUUAGGAACAUUCUCGACUGGAGACAAACAUGUUUCUAACAUCAAAUGACAAUUCAUGGAUCUACAAGUGUUUCCAGUAAAGAAAUAUAAACGCUGACUGAGGGGUCGAACACUACAAGAACACGGAAGAACACUAUGAAAAAUGUUGUGCAGAUCUAUGGGCUACGGAGAAACAACGGAUUGGUACGAUGCGUAACAAGAACUACCGCAAUCAUUAUUUCACGGGUCUACGGUACCGCAUCUAGAUUAGGCGAGAAGCAAGAACAUGAGGCAUGCAUGGCAUUCAUGGAGUUCUACGGUACCGCAUCUAGUUCGGAUCUGUUUCUACUGAGAAAAGGGAGAUUUACCUGAAGGGGAAGAUACAGGCG